RNAcentral lists this microRNA precursor (104 nucleotides) under Chlorocebus sabaeus (green monkey). Its description in RNAcentral is "miRNA (ENSCSAG00000021024.1)". The record is from RNAcentral. Lineage: Eukaryota; Metazoa; Chordata; Mammalia; Primates; Cercopithecidae.
GAAGUAGCUGAUAUUAUUAGACUGGUGCAAAAGUAAUUGCUGCUUUUGCCAUGAAAGGUAAUGGUAAAAACCACAAUUACUUUUUAACCCAACUAAUAUUAUUU